This 330-nucleotide ribosomal RNA is filed under the name uncultured bacterium. RNAcentral's name for it is "bacterial SSU rRNA". It matches the Rfam family "Bacterial small subunit ribosomal RNA", at positions 30 to 355 of the family's 1533-position model. The record is from RNAcentral.
AUUGAACGCUGGCGGCAUGCCUUACACAUGCAAGUCGAACGGCAGCACGGGAGCUUGCUCCUGGUGGCGAGUGGCGAACGGGUGAGUAAUACAUCGGAACGUACCCUGAAGUGGGGGAUAACGUAGCGAAAGUUACGCUAAUACCGCAUAUUCUGUGAGCAGGAAAAGAGGGGGGAUCGCAAGACCUCUUGCUUUAGGAGCGGCCGAUGUCGGAUUAGCUAGUUGGUGAGGUAAAGGCUCACCAAGGCGACGAUCCGUAGCGGGUCUGAGAGGAUGAUCCGCCACACUGGGACUGAGACACGGCCCAGACUCCUACGGGAGGCAGCCAGU